GCCCGCGUAGCUCAGUGGCAGAGCAACCGCCUUGUAAGCGGUAGGUCGCCAGUUCGAUUCUGGCCGCGGGCU
Molecule: transfer RNA, 72 nt
Filed under: Elusimicrobiota bacterium
Lineage: Bacteria; Pseudomonadati; Elusimicrobiota
Description: Elusimicrobia bacterium tRNA-Thr
Rfam family: tRNA
About the family: Transfer RNA (tRNA) molecules are approximately 80 nucleotides in length. Their secondary structure includes four short double-helical elements and three loops (D, anti-codon, and T loops).
Source: RNAcentral